RNAcentral lists this ribosomal RNA (302 nucleotides) under uncultured bacterium. RNAcentral describes it as "partial 16S ribosomal RNA". It matches the Rfam family "Bacterial small subunit ribosomal RNA", at positions 508 to 807 of the family's 1533-position model. The record is from RNAcentral.
GCAGUAGCCGCGGGAAUACGUAGGUGGCAAGCGUUGUCCGGAAUUAUUGGGCGUAAAGGGCUCGCAGGCGGUUUCUUAAGUCUGAUGUGAAAGCCCCCGGCUCAACCGGGGAGGGUCAUUGGAAACUGGGAAACUUGAGUGCAGAAGAGGAGAGUGGAAUUCCACGUGUAGCGGUGAAAUGCGUAGAGAUGUGGAGGAACACCAGUGGCGAAGGCGACUCUCUGGUCUGUAACUGACGCUGAGGAGCGAAAGCGUGGGGAGCGAACAGGAUUAGAUACCCCAGUAGUCCCUGUCUCUUAUAC